AUAAUGGGCUCCCAUAUUAAGUGCAUUACGGUAGGGGCGCUACUGCGUCUAUUACGGUAGCUGAGGGCUGUAGCGUAAGCUAGGAAUGGCGGCAGCCAGUGGGUCAGUAGUGUGUAUGUACUCGGCCAUGCUGCGUGGGCUCUGGGAACACUAAAAGUAAGUAAAAUAGCGUUUUUAUUGUGCUUACUCUGAGAAUUAAACCCAUUUUUAAUGUAUAGGUAGUCAGCAUGGCUCUGUGUGAAGCAGAAACGGUCUUUUAGUGGCUAUAAUUAAAUGUAGUUGUUAUUGUUUGUAGCUCAGAGGGAAACACUCUAUUGUGCUGGGGAUUGCUGGCCACUGAGGGGAGCUGUGGCUGCAUUUAAAGGGUUAGUAUUCAGUAUGAGUUUAAAGGGGGAAAUUCUGAGCAUGUAUGCUUAAUGGUGUAUUAUGUGAUCUGUAGGUGCUGAUUUUGGUGGAUAACUUUGGUGUGGAGCCCACAUGAGAUUCUUAUGGUUGUCAUGGUUGCUGUAUAUGAUUUAAUCUAUGUCACUGUUUUAUCACUGUGAAACAUAUAUUUUGCUAGUAUCUGUUUGUUGUAUAUUUUUAGUAAAUUGGCCUAAUGAAGUAGAUUCUAUCAUUGAUGCUGUUUUUUACAAUUGAGUAUUUUUGGAUUAAAUAAAGGUAAAAGCUGUUUCAAAUUAA
This is a long non-coding RNA of Astyanax mexicanus (Mexican tetra), 681 nucleotides long. RefSeq lists it as uncharacterized. NCBI's taxonomy places the organism in Eukaryota, Metazoa, Chordata, Actinopteri, Characiformes, Acestrorhamphidae. The record is from RefSeq and is a predicted model, not a curated record. The transcript has 2 exons.